Molecule: ribosomal RNA, 279 nt
Filed under: uncultured bacterium
Lineage: Bacteria
Description: partial 16S ribosomal RNA
Rfam family: Bacterial small subunit ribosomal RNA
Source: RNAcentral
UGCCAGCCGCCGCGGUAAUACGGAGGGUGCUAGCGUUGUUCGGAAUUACUGGGCGUAAAGCGCGCGUAGGCGGCUUAUUAAGUUAACUGUGAAAUCCCAAAGCUUAACUUUGGAACUGCAGUUAAUACUGGUAGGCUAGAGCAUAGUAGGGGAUAGUGGAAUUUCUGGUGUAGGGGUGAAAUCCGUAGAUAUCAGAAGGAAGGCCAGCGGCGAAGGCGACUAUCUGGGCUAUUGCUGACGCUGAGGUGCGAAAGCGUGGGGAGCAAACAGGAUUAGAUA